UCUCUCCGUACGGGGAAGGAUGAGAAGCUUCGACUAAGGUUCGAUUCGAGCGCAGCGAGAAAGCGUUGCCGCAGGCAACGACCCGAAGGGCGAAGCGCGCAGCGCUGAGUCAUCCUUCCCCCACCACCA
This 129-nucleotide small RNA is filed under the name Salmonella enterica. RNAcentral describes it as "RtT sRNA". It matches the Rfam family "RtT RNA". Rfam says of the family: This family represents a bacterial cis-regulatory element known as RtT RNA. The exact function of RtT is unknown although it is thought that it may be involved in changing the cellular response in relation to amino acid starvation. RNAcentral also lists the same sequence under 5 other names. The record is from RNAcentral. Lineage: Bacteria; Pseudomonadati; Pseudomonadota; Gammaproteobacteria; Enterobacterales; Enterobacteriaceae.